This is a long non-coding RNA of Suricata suricatta (meerkat), 430 nucleotides long. RefSeq lists it as uncharacterized. The record is from RefSeq and is a predicted model, not a curated record. Lineage: Eukaryota; Metazoa; Chordata; Mammalia; Carnivora; Herpestidae. The transcript has 3 exons.
UUGUGUUUUCUCACAUCUUUCUGAAUUAUUACUUUGCAUCGAGACAGAAGUUUAAUCUUUCCAUUCAACUAUAUGGUGAUGGAAGAGGCCAGUGGCUCCAGGGGCAGAAGAGGAGGCUGAUAUACCCUUGGGCAUGGGAGAAAUAUUAGGCUCAAGAGCAGAGGUACUGGAACCAGACUGCCUGAUCCGAAUUUAAUUCUGCUGCCAGCUCUAAUUAAGCAGAUGAUACUCUGUUCAUUGGAAUCAAGCAAAAGGAAAACUCGAAUAUUGAGAAAUUAUUCCAAAAAAGGAUACCUCCUAUUCUCCCAUAUACCCUAAGAGUAAGAGACAUCCCUGCCACGCAGCACAGAGAUUUAUAACUCUGAGCAAAGGUUUCAACAAAUACAAGUUCUUUACUCCAAAGUCCAUCUAUGUGUGCUCCCUGAAAUAA